Molecule: ribosomal RNA, 254 nt
Filed under: uncultured bacterium
Lineage: Bacteria
Description: partial 16S ribosomal RNA
Rfam family: Bacterial small subunit ribosomal RNA
Source: RNAcentral
GACGUAGGAUGCAAGCGUUGUCCGGAAUUAUUGGGCGUAAAGAGUUCGUAGGCGGUUAUUUAAGUCUGGUGUUAAAGACGGGGAGCUUAACUCCCGCAUGGCACUGGAAACUGGAUGGCUAGAGUGUGGUAGAGGUCUCGGGAAUUCCAGGUGUAGCGGUGAAAUGCGUAGAUAUCUGGAGGAACACCGGUGGCGAAAGCGCGAGACUGGGCCAUAACUGACGCUGAGGAACGAAAGCCAGGGGAGCAAACGGG